Molecule: ribosomal RNA, 230 nt
Filed under: uncultured bacterium
Lineage: Bacteria
Description: partial 16S ribosomal RNA
Rfam family: Bacterial small subunit ribosomal RNA
Source: RNAcentral
UAAAGGGUGUGUAGGCGGGUAUUUAAGUCAGUGGUGAAAUCUCCGAGCUCAACUCGGAAACUGCCAUUGAUACAUUUAUCUUGAAUAUUGUUGAGGUAGGCGGAAUAUGUCAUGUAGCGGUGAAAUGCUUAGAUAUGACAUAGAACACCGAUUGCGAAGGCAGCUUGCUAAACAAUUAUUGACGCUGAGGCACGAAAGCGUGGGGAUCAAACAGGAUUAGAUACCCUGGU